Molecule: long non-coding RNA, 520 nt
Organism: Orcinus orca (killer whale)
Lineage: Eukaryota; Metazoa; Chordata; Mammalia; Artiodactyla; Delphinidae
Exons: 3
Source: RefSeq, a predicted model, not a curated record
UGUUUCACUUCGAGGGUUCGGUUUAUUUAGCCUCACUAUGCAUGGGGCACACGAACUUGUGUUUGGUAACACCUGGAGCUUGUGGACGUGCUCCUUUAGGAUGCCUCCAGCCUUUCCCUCCGAGUGGCCCUCAGGGGGUGCUGCUGUGCUCUGAGGCUCUCUUGCCCCAGGGUCUCCCUCCGUGGGUGUCUUUGGUCCCCUGAUCCUCGGGGGUCACUCUGCAGCCUCCUCAUCCCGACUGCCUGGACCGCUGCGGCUCCCCCGCCCUUCUGCAGACCGGGAACCCGGCCUCCAUGAUGCGAGGAAGCUCAGGCCACACGGGGUGGCCACGUGUCUGGGCUGGCAGCCCAUCCUGAGCUCCCAGCCGACAGCAGGCAUCAGCUACCAGACAUGCAGCACAUCACAGCCGCAGAACUUGAACCCUUGAUUGACCCUGCCGUGCAUGGCUGACACACAGAGUGGAUCUUCAACACAACCUGUAAGUAACAGGCAGGCUCUCCUCUCUCGAGAAACAACUGGU